Molecule: long non-coding RNA, 233 nt
Filed under: Phoenix dactylifera (date palm)
Lineage: Eukaryota; Viridiplantae; Streptophyta; Magnoliopsida; Arecales; Arecaceae
Description: long non-coding RNA (PDAC_LNC018719)
Source: RNAcentral
AAAUAGAGAUAUCUUUCUCUUCUCCUUUUUACAAAUUUAUUUAACUUUCAGAUUUUAAAGAUGAUUGUAAACGACAAAUCUGAAAUUUCUUUUCAAUAAUACCCAAAAAUUUAUGCAGUAUUUCGAACAUUCAAUCAAAUUAUCUAAGCAUGGAGCAUUACAAAAUAUUGAGAACCCAUAAUUCAAAACAUCAUUCCACAUGCAACAUAUAUUAUGUGUUUAGUCAUGCAUUA